This 616-nucleotide unclassified non-coding RNA is filed under the name Leishmania donovani. RNAcentral describes it as "gene:unknown". Lineage: Eukaryota; Euglenozoa; Kinetoplastea; Trypanosomatida; Trypanosomatidae. The record is from RNAcentral.
GGCCUGGCGCGCACGAAUAACGCGUACGCACGCACGCGUGUGCGUGUCUGUGUGGCAUUCUUUGCAAAGGUCGCUUCUUGUCACUUUUUUUUUUGCGUCUCUCAUACACGUCGCGUUCAUGUCGCUGUCCGCUGUCCUUUCCCCGGUUUUCUUUCUGUUGUUUCUAGUAGUCCCUUCAUUUUACCUUAGUGGCCUUUGUUGUCCCGUGCCGAUGUGCCCGUGUUCGCGGUUGUGGCUGGAUAGUGUGAUUGCCGCUGUGGUGGCGAGACACGCACACUUCGGCCACCCACAGAAAGGUUAGGAAGUGCGGCGUGGCCUCUAGACGGCAGGGAAUGGGCUGCUCGUCAGUGAUUCCACAUGCACGUGCGCGUGUGCGCGGGAGACGAGUUGCACCCCUCCCCUCCUGCCACUGUCGUGUGGCGCUUCGCGUGAGAGUGGAGGGUGCAUUUCCCAACGCCCUCUCUGAAUUCUCCUCUCCCUCUCUUGGCGAGUGUGCGCAGCAAGGUGGCUUACUCGUUCUUUUCGCAUACUUGUACAUGUGUCUCCGUGUACGACGGCAGGCACGAACCUGCGUGAGGGAGAGGCAGUGGCCCCGUGACGCGAUCGGCGGCACGAC